AUUGAACGCUGGCGGCAGGCCUAACACAUGCAAGUCGAGCGGAUGAAGGGAGCUUGCUCCUGGAUUCAGCGGCGGACGGGUGAGUAAUGCCUAGGAAUCUGCCUGGUAGUGGGGGAUAACGUCCGGAAACGGGCGCUAAUACCGCAUACGUCCUGAGGGAGAAAGUGGGGGAUCUUCGGACCUGACGCUAUCAGAUGAGCCUAGGUCGGAUUAGCUAGUUGGUGGGGUAAAGGCCUACCAAGGCGACGAUCCGUAACUGGUCUGAGAGGAUGAUCAGUCACACUGGAACUGAGACACGUUCCAGACUCCUACGGGAGGCAGCAGUGGGGACUAUUGGACAAUGGGCGAAAGCCUGAUCCAGCCAUGCCGCGUGUGUGAAGAAGGUCUUCGGAUUGUAAAGCACUUUAAGUUGGGAGGAAGGGCAGUAAGUUAAUACCUUGCUGUUUUGACGUUACCAACAGAAUAAGCACCGGCUAACUUCGUG
Molecule: ribosomal RNA, 484 nt
Filed under: uncultured bacterium
Lineage: Bacteria
Description: partial 16S ribosomal RNA
Rfam family: Bacterial small subunit ribosomal RNA
Source: RNAcentral